This is a transfer RNA of Drosophila melanogaster (fruit fly), 72 nucleotides long. It matches the Rfam family "tRNA". Rfam says of the family: Transfer RNA (tRNA) molecules are approximately 80 nucleotides in length. NCBI's taxonomy places the organism in Eukaryota, Metazoa, Arthropoda, Insecta, Diptera, Drosophilidae. The record is from Rfam.
GCCGUGAUCGUCUAGUGGUUAGGACCCCACGUUGUGGGUUACCACACCCAGGUUCGAAUCCUGGUCACGGCA